Molecule: ribosomal RNA, 535 nt
Filed under: uncultured bacterium
Lineage: Bacteria
Description: bacterial SSU rRNA
Rfam family: Bacterial small subunit ribosomal RNA
Source: RNAcentral
CCUUGGCCUUGACAUACUAAGAACUUUCCAGAGAUGGAUUGGUGCCUUCGGGAACUUAGAUACAGGUGCUGCAUGGCUGUCGUCAGCUCGUGUCGUGAGAUGUUGGUUAAGUCCGCAACGAGCGCAACCCUUUUCCUUAUUUGCCAGCGGGUAAUGCCGGGAACUUUAAGGAUACUGCCAGUGACAAACUGGAGGAAGGCGGGGACGACGUCAAGUCAUCAUGGCCCUUACGGCCAGGGCUACACACGUGCUACAAUGGUCGGUACAAAGGGUUGCUACCUCGCGAGAGGAUGCUAAUCUCAAAAAGCCGAUCGUAGUCCGGAUCGCAGUCUGCAACUCGACUGCGUGAAGUCGGAAUCGCUAGUAAUCGCGGAUCAGAAUGCCGCGGUGAAUACGUUCCCGGGCCUUGUACACACCGCCCGUCACACCAUGGGAGUUUGUUGCACCAGAAGUAGGUAGUCUAACCGCAAGGAGGACGCUUACCACGGUGUGGCCGAUGACUGGGGUGAAGUCGUAACAAGGUAAGCGUAGAUGA